Molecule: ribosomal RNA, 546 nt
Filed under: uncultured bacterium
Lineage: Bacteria
Description: bacterial SSU rRNA
Rfam family: Bacterial small subunit ribosomal RNA
Source: RNAcentral
AGUGAAUAGAUACCCGGGUAGUCCACGCCGUAAACGAUGCACACUAGGCAUUUGGAGUAUCGACCCUUCGAGUGCCGAAAGCUAACGCGUUAAGUGUGCCGCCUGGGUAGUACGGCCGCAAGGCUAAAACUCAAAGGAAUUGACGGGGGAGCCGCACAAGCGGUGGAACAUGUGGUUUAAUUCGAUACUAAGCGAAGAACCUUACCAGGGCUUGACAUCCUGGGAAUCUCCUAGAAAUAGGAGAGUGCCUUUUAGGAACCCAGUGACAGGUGCUGCACGGCCGUCGUCAGCUCGUGCUAUGAAGUGUCCCGUUAAGUCGGUUAACGAGCGCAACCCCUGCUGUUUGUUAUAUUUCUCAAGCAGGACUGCCGGCGUUAAGUCGGAGGAAGGUGGGGAUGACGUCAGGUCAGCGUGGCUCUUACGCCCUGGGCUACACACGUGUUACAAUGGAUAGUUACAAAGGGUUGCUAAGCUGUAAAGCGGAGCUAAUCCCAUAAAUCUAUCCUCAGUUCGGAUUGAGGGGCUGCAACUCGCCCUCAUGAAGUU